RNAcentral lists this ribosomal RNA (425 nucleotides) under uncultured Desulfovibrio sp. RNAcentral's name for it is "bacterial SSU rRNA". It matches the Rfam family "Bacterial small subunit ribosomal RNA", at positions 356 to 774 of the family's 1533-position model. The record is from RNAcentral. Lineage: Bacteria; Pseudomonadati; Thermodesulfobacteriota; Desulfovibrionia; Desulfovibrionales; Desulfovibrionaceae.
GGGGAAUAUUGCGCAAUGGGCGAAAGCCUGACGCAGCGACGCCGCGUGAGGGAUGAAGGUUUUCGGAUCGUAAACCUCUGUCAGAAGGGAAGAAACCGCACCGUGCUAAUCAGCGGUGCCUUGACGGUACCUUCAAAGGAAGCACCGGCUAACUCCGUGCCAGCAGCCGCGGUAAUACGGAGGGUGCAAGCGUUAAUCGGAAUUACUGGGCGUAAAGCGCACGUAGGCUGCUUUGUAAGUCAGGGGUGAAAUCCCACGGCUCAACCGUGGAACUCCCUUGGAUACUGCUUGGCUGGAAUCCGGGGGAGGGUGGCGGAAUUCCAGGGUAAGAAGUGAAAUCCGUAGAUAUCUGGAGGAACAUAAGUGGCGAAGCCGCCCACCUGGACCGGUAUUGACGCUGAGGUGCGAAAGCGUGGGAGCAAACA